Molecule: ribosomal RNA, 62 nt
Filed under: Aplanochytrium sp. PBS07
Lineage: Eukaryota; Bigyra; Thraustochytrida; Thraustochytriidae
Description: partial Bacterial large subunit ribosomal RNA
Source: RNAcentral
AAAACACAGGACUGUGCGAAGUCGAGAGACGACGUAUACGGUCUGACGCCUUCCGGCACCGG